This 374-nucleotide ribosomal RNA is filed under the name uncultured Glomeromycotina. RNAcentral's name for it is "LSU rRNA". Lineage: Eukaryota; Fungi; Glomeromycota. The record is from RNAcentral.
UUGAAAGGGAAACGAUUGAAGUCAGUCGUACCGACGAGUAAUCAGCCUUUCGGGUGUGAUUUUGCCGGACACGGAGAGCUUUACCGCAUUCGUGCUUGUAAAUUUGUGCCCUUUGGGUGUACUUUCUCGUAUGGUUAGUUAACAUCAAUUUUGAUCGUUAUAAAAUGACUGGAGUAAUGUAGCUUCGAUCUUGUAUUGAAGUGUUAUAGACUUUGGUAGAUGUAACGAUCAGGAUUGAGGAUUGCAACGAAUACCCUUCGGGCUAUCCGUCUGGCCUCUGAAAGUUGUCUUGGUGCCGAAAGCGUGCUUACGGUUAUCGAGGCUGACGGUCAAAAGGUUAGAACGCGAUUAAAUUCGUUAAGGAUGUUGACGUA